Long non-coding RNA from Melozone crissalis (California towhee), 1477 nucleotides. RefSeq lists it as uncharacterized. Lineage: Eukaryota; Metazoa; Chordata; Aves; Passeriformes; Passerellidae. The transcript is spliced from 6 exons. The record is from RefSeq and is a predicted model, not a curated record.
GUCCGAGCCGCCGUCGCCCGCCGCGGGCAGUAGCGCUGUGAGGGGCUGCCCCGUUCCCGGGCCCUGCCGUUACCUGGGAGAGCCGGGGCUAUUUUUAACCUGGAUGUGUUCUGUGAUAUGUUUCCCACACAGCACAGAAACUGGCACAGCUGAGGGGCAGGAAAGAGCACAGCUUUAAUUCCUGUUGGCUCAGUCACAUUUGCUCAACAUGACUGAAAACCCCUCUUCACCUCUAGAAAUGCAAAAGUGAAUGUGGAUCUACAUUGGAAUCUUCUGUCCUUGUAGUGGAGAGUAUUAGUUACCUUCCAUGACCACUCUGGCCACAAUGGCUUCCUUUGCUUGACAAGCUGAUUACUUUGUCAAGGCCGGGAGCCAGGAGGGCUGGCGCUCGGGACACCUCCUCCUGGUGCGCUGCCAAGGACGGUGGCGGUGUCCUGCGGCCAGGGCGGUGGCCCCGGGCACUCGGCAUCCGUCCUGCGGCUCGCCGACCCUCCCCUCGAGACCUACUUCUGCCGGGACAGGCAAGGCUUAAAAAUGCCUUGGACCUGCAAACUGAGCACAGUUGCUCCGUGGAAGGCAGGGAAUCACAGGUCUCCUGCUUCUGCCUUUCCCCUUCCUGCUAUUUCAUUCUGAUUGCUGGGACUGUAAAACCUCAGGAGCAGGCACUGUUUCCCAUUGUGAAGCUACUUUGUAAACCUUCCUAACUGAAGGGACACACACAGAUACUCUUUUUCAUUCUUUCUUUUUUUUUUUUUUUUCCCAAGAAUGAUGUAUUUGUCUGGUCUCCUUCCUCUACCAACUUCUUUUUGUGUGCACACUGUGUCCUGUGGCCCUCUUGGAGAAAAUUCUCUUUUUGAUGAAUUCCUGAGGCAAAGACUGAGCAGCCAUCACAGGAGUUAGUGAUUUCCCACCUUGGGUUUUAGACUGUGAGCUCUGUGGAAGACUGAGAUUCUCAUGGCUGUGGAGAGCAUGGAGAGCACUUAGGAUGUGUAGGGCCCUAGUGAGAAAUGCAAAUGCGAUUAGUGAUUGUGCAGGUCUUCCAACAAAAGCAGCAGAGCUAGCCCAGGACCCAGCUCCUCCAGGAGCCUCAUGGGACUGGUGAGAAAAGAAAUAAACCACCCUAAGUGUGCUGGCCCCGGAUGAGGAGUUUUUGGCUCGUGACCUGUGGCCAUACUGCCUGGCCUGUUUCCCAGAGGUCAGUGAAAGGUAAGUGAGAAAGGAGACUUGUUGUCAGCAAGCACAAAUCCAAGGGAUAGGCUGUCUGACUGGGAGAUAGAAGGCUCCAUGAGUAGGAGGAAAAGGUAAAAAUGCCUGUCCUCACACCCAGAAGCAUGGCAGCUCAUUGAAGUGAGGUUGUUUCAGACGGCAGCCACCCUUCACUUCACUAUUGCUUUUUUGUUGUAUCAAUCUGAGAUAAACUCCUGUGUCAGUCUCCCCUUGGCCCUCAUCUUCUGGGGGUGAAAUAAAGAACCAGCAG